AGGCAGCAGUAGGGAAUUUUGGGCAAUGGGCGAAAGCCUGACCCAGCAACGCCGCGUGAAGGAUGAAGUAUUUCGGUAUGUAAACUUCGGAAGAAUGGGAAGAAUAAAUGACGGUACCAUUUAUAAGCUCCGGCUAACUACGUGCCAGCAGCCGCGGUAAUACGUAGGGAGCAAACGUUGUUCGGAUUUACUGGGCGUAAAGGGCGCGUAGGCGGCGCGGUAAGUCAGCUGUGAAAUCUCCGAGCUUAACUCGGAACGGCCAGCUGAUACUGCAGUGCUAGAGUGCAGAAGGGGCAAUCGGAAUUCUUGGUGUAGCGGUGAAAUGCGUAGAUAUCAAGAGGAACACCUGAGGUGAAGACGGGUUGCUGGGCUGACACUGACGCUGAGGCGCGAAAGCCAGGGGAGCAAACAGGAUUAGAUACCCCGGUAG
Molecule: ribosomal RNA, 430 nt
Filed under: uncultured bacterium
Lineage: Bacteria
Description: bacterial SSU rRNA
Rfam family: Bacterial small subunit ribosomal RNA
Source: RNAcentral